Molecule: small nuclear RNA, 154 nt
Filed under: Aegilops tauschii subsp. strangulata
Lineage: Eukaryota; Viridiplantae; Streptophyta; Magnoliopsida; Poales; Poaceae
Description: snRNA U2
Rfam family: U2 spliceosomal RNA
About the family: U2 is a small nuclear RNA (snRNA) component of the spliceosome (involved in pre-mRNA splicing). Complementary binding between U2 snRNA (in an area lying towards the 5' end but 3' to hairpin I) and the branchpoint sequence (BPS) of the intron results the bulging out of an unpaired adenosine, on the BPS, which initiates a nucleophilic attack at the intronic 5' splice site, thus starting the first of two transesterification reactions that mediate splicing.
Source: Rfam by way of RNAcentral
AUUUCUUCGACAAGUAUUUUCUGAUAUAUGGACCAUGUGCCCACAAUGAUAUUAAAUUUAUUUUUUAUGGGGGUGGGCCUACCACAGUAGCUUGCUACUGGGUCCAUGCGCGUCGCUUGGGUGUUGCACUAUUGCCCUGGCUUGUGCACCCCAA